RNAcentral lists this ribosomal RNA (403 nucleotides) under Verrucomicrobiota bacterium. Its description in RNAcentral is "Verrucomicrobia bacterium partial 16S ribosomal RNA". It matches the Rfam family "Bacterial small subunit ribosomal RNA", at positions 355 to 776 of the family's 1533-position model. The record is from RNAcentral. Lineage: Bacteria; Pseudomonadati; Verrucomicrobiota.
UGGGGAAUAUUGCACAAUGGGGGAAACCCUGAUGCAGCGACGCCGCGUGAGCGAAGAAGGCCUUCGGGUCGUAAAGCUCUUUUAUAUGGGAAGAUAAUGACGGUACCAUAAGAAAAAGCCCCGGCUAACUACGUGCCAGCAGCCGCGGUAAUACGUAGGGGGCUAGCGUUGUCCGGAAUCACUGGGCGUAAAGGGUUCGCAGGCGGCAAUGCAAGUCAGAUGUAAAAGGCAAAGGCUCAACCUUUGUAAGCAUCUGAAACUGUAUAGCUUGAGAAGUGUAGAGGCAAGUGGAAUUUUUAGUGUAGCGGUGGAAUGCGUAGAUAUUAGGAGGAAUACCGGUGGCGAAGGCGACUUGCUGGACUUCAACUGACGCUGAGGAACGAAAGCGUGGGUAGCAAACAGG